UACGGAGGAUGCGAGCGUUAUCCGGAUUUAUUGGGUUUAAAGGGUGCGUAGGCGGAUUUGUAAGUCAGCGGUAAAAAUGCGGUGCUCAACGCCGUAUCGCCGUUGAAACUGCGGGUCUUGAGUGAGCGAGAAGUAUGCGGAAUGCGUGGUGUAGCGGUGAAAUGCAUAGAUAUAACUUAGAACACCGAUAGCGAAGGCAGCUUACCAGACUGAGUCUGACGCUGAUGCACGAGAGCAUGGGUAGCGAACAGG
This 252-nucleotide ribosomal RNA is filed under the name uncultured Bacteroidales bacterium. RNAcentral describes it as "partial 16S ribosomal RNA". It matches the Rfam family "Bacterial small subunit ribosomal RNA", at positions 524 to 776 of the family's 1533-position model. The record is from RNAcentral. Lineage: Bacteria; Pseudomonadati; Bacteroidota; Bacteroidia; Bacteroidales.